CAAUAGUGUAUAUUAAAGUUGUUGCAGUUAAAAAGCUCGUAGUUGAAUUUCUGGCGGGCGCGCCGGUCUUCCAAGUGUUGUACUGGGCGCAGUCCGCCAUCCUUGUGGAGAGGGCUCGCAUUGAGUUGCGUGUCGGAUCUGCAUCAUUUACUGUGAAAAAAUUAGAGUGUUUAAAGCAGGCUGUCGCUUGAAUACAUUAGCAUGGAAUAAUAAGAUAGGACUUCGGUCUAUUUUGUUGGUUGCGAACCGAGGUAAUGAUUAAUAGGGAUAGUUGGGGGUAUUCAUAUUUAAUUGUCAGAGGUGAAAUUCUUGGAUUUAUGAAAGAUGAACAACUGCGAAAGCAUUUACCAAGGAUGUUUUCAUUAA
This 366-nucleotide ribosomal RNA is filed under the name uncultured eukaryote. RNAcentral's name for it is "partial 18S ribosomal RNA". It matches the Rfam family "Eukaryotic small subunit ribosomal RNA", at positions 592 to 976 of the family's 1831-position model. The record is from RNAcentral.